This 569-nucleotide unclassified non-coding RNA is filed under the name Hevea brasiliensis (rubber tree). The record is from RNAcentral. Lineage: Eukaryota; Viridiplantae; Streptophyta; Magnoliopsida; Malpighiales; Euphorbiaceae.
UCAAAGAAUUGGGAGAAACAAAACCUACAACUUCAACUUUGAUUAAAUUUUCACCGUAUGGAGGCUGUCAUUGAGUUCACUUGAGCAUCUUCUUUUUCGUCACAAUCAUUAUCUAAUCGAUUUGAUGUUAAGCCAAGCUCACAUACUAGAAGUAAUUGGGUUACUUUUCUUUCUUGUUAGUUUCCCCAUUUUGAUUUAAUCAUACCUUUGGUUGUUUGUCAUUUCUGCUCAUCUAUUUAAAUUUAUUUGGCUGUACAAGGGUUGAAUUUUUCUUUAAGUGUUAUGGUUGAAGGGGUGUUAGUUUCUUAGGUUUGGGUAUUUUGGGGUUCUUCCUGUUGGAAAUUGGUUAGCUUAGGAAACUUUCUCUCCUUCCCCUGUCUUUUAUUCAUCUCAUCAAUAUAUUGCUGCUUAGUAAAACAAAAUCAUCAAAUGUGUUAAUCAUGGAAGAAUGAAACAAUUAAUUAGUAAUUAGGAAAUUGAAAGGUUUAGUUACAUGUUCUCUAUCCAAAGGAUAUUAAACUAAGGGCAUAACUAAAAUAGCCAGUGUGUAGGCUCCAUCAAGUAGAGCU